UACGGAGGGUGCGAGCGUUAAUCGGAAUUACUGGGCGUAAAGCGCGCGUAGGUGGCUUGGUCAGUCAGAUGUGAAAUCCCCGGGCUUAACCUGGGAACUGCAUUUGAUACUGCCAGGCUAGAGUAUGGUAGAGGGUAGUGGAAUUUCCGGUGUAGCGGUGAAAUGCGUAGAUAUCGGAAGGAACACCAGUGGCGAAGGCGGCUACCUGGACCAAUACUGACGCUGAGGUGCGAAAGCGUGGGGAGCAAACAGGAUUAGAUACCCGAGUA
RNAcentral lists this ribosomal RNA (269 nucleotides) under uncultured prokaryote. RNAcentral describes it as "partial 16S ribosomal RNA". It matches the Rfam family "Bacterial small subunit ribosomal RNA", at positions 524 to 792 of the family's 1533-position model. The record is from RNAcentral.